Non-coding RNA from Amborella trichopoda, 1750 nucleotides. The record is from RefSeq and is a predicted model, not a curated record. Lineage: Eukaryota; Viridiplantae; Streptophyta; Magnoliopsida; Amborellales; Amborellaceae.
CAUGGUAUAUUCCUCCACUUAUAUUAGGUGUGUUCAGAUUAUUGUUUGAACACGAUUUUUAUUAUAAGAUACAUUCUGUUGUACAUGGCAUCUCAUCAAGGUGGACGUACUUGUUUUUAAGGCUUUGUUGAACCUCUUUUAGAGUGAAAAAAUUCCAUCAUUUUAAUGUAGAUGCUAUGUUUCCAGUUGUAUAUAGCUGUCAUGCUCUCAAAAUCCCAUAAUUUUUCUUUCUUUAAUUGUUUAUCUUGGAGAUAACAUGGAUGGUGAGAAAUUGAGGUACACUUAACCUUACUAUGUGCACAUAAAUGCAUUAAUAUAUGCAUGCGUGUCCUUUGUUGUUGUAAUUGUUAUUCUUGUAGGUAUAGUAUGGAUCUCCUCAAAUUCAAAGAAAUUGUUGGUAUUCAACAAAUUCUUAUGCAGUACCUCAAGAAUAAAAAACCUGGAAAGACCUUUUUUCUCGUUAUUCACACUAUACUGAUCAAAAUACAGUUGGGUCCUAUGUGGUCUUCUUUAAGUGAAACGGUUUUUAUUAUUUGAAUAACUUGUGAUAACAUAAUUUCUUAAGUUUUCUCAUUUCUUUGGUGUCUUCCUUUUUGGAUCCAUAUACAAGGAUAAUUACCUCUUGUUGGUGGUGAUUAUAACUUUUCAGGGAGGAGUUUGAUGGUAAGCUGAAGGGGAUCUUGGGCUACAUUGAGGAUGACGUGGUGUCCACCAACUUUCUUUUGGAGUCUAGGUUUUCAUAGAACAAUUUAUGUUAAACCCUUAUGCUACUUGCAGGAACGCUUUGAUUUGUUUGGGUUUGGUCCAAAUUAUAGGGUUUUUAGACACAACCAUGUCUAAAUCACUUAAUUUGUGGCCAUUACAAUGCAGUUGUGGUCAUAGUUUGGGAGCUAGGGUUUGGAAGAGGAGAAAUGGAAGGAGAAGUAAUAUUUAAGGAUAUAAGGAGAUAUUACUGUGAUAUCUGUGGAAUUUGCAGGUCUAAGAAGUCUCUGAUAAGAUCUCAUAUGCUUUCUGAACACAAGGAUGAAGUUAAUGAGGUUGAAAAAGAUGAAGAGGAAAUCCUGGAAAAUAAAAGAAUGAAGCUGGCAUGUGAUGAAUGUGGUGCCUGCUUUCGAAAGCCAGCUCAUCUUAAACAGCAUAAGCAGGGCCAUUGAUUAGAGGAUGGAUGGGUGUCUUGCUUAAAUGUUUAGCGUUAGAAGCAUUGGGAGCGGAAGACGAUGUUGAUAGCAAAGUUAUUGCGCUGGAUAACCGAACCUCUCCACAUCAUGCAGCCAUUGAAAAGGCAAAGCUCAGUUGAGAAUUUGAUUGAGAGAGGAAGGGAGAAGCGAACUAGACGAGUUGUUGCGCUGGAUAACUGAACCUCUCCACUUCAUGCAGCCAUUGAAAAGGCUCAAGCAGUGCUCAGGCAGGAAUUUAAUGCGAGAUAGGAAAGGAGAAGUGAACUAGAGUUUCUUGAGAAGGGAGGCAAUCCCUCUUCUUCCUAUUCCUCAAAAUCUUCUUCAUCGGCCUUUGUGGACUCUAGCUUUGCGAACGCAAUCAACCAAGCCCAAGGCAAUCCUCACGAGAUCCUUUAAGCGAUGGGCUUCCUGAUCAAUGGCCUACAUGAAGCCCUUGAGAUAACGACUCAAGAUGCCAGUAUAAGUCGAAGAAUGCCAAAGGUGGUAGAGCUGGGAUUUACCCUAGCAGCACUUGCUCAUGUUUGACACAAUGCCAUGUUGGUUGAAAAGAACAAUAAGUUACGUCAGCUGUG